GGCGGAGUGGAGCAGCCCGGUAGCUCGUCGGCCUCAUAAGCCGAAGGUCGUUGGUUCAAAUCCAACCUCUCGCA
Molecule: transfer RNA, 74 nt
Filed under: compost metagenome
Description: tRNA-Met
Rfam family: tRNA
About the family: Transfer RNA (tRNA) molecules are approximately 80 nucleotides in length. Their secondary structure includes four short double-helical elements and three loops (D, anti-codon, and T loops).
Source: RNAcentral